Molecule: transfer RNA, 72 nt
Filed under: Camelus bactrianus (Bactrian camel)
Lineage: Eukaryota; Metazoa; Chordata; Mammalia; Artiodactyla; Camelidae
Also listed under: 2 other names
Rfam family: tRNA
About the family: Transfer RNA (tRNA) molecules are approximately 80 nucleotides in length. Their secondary structure includes four short double-helical elements and three loops (D, anti-codon, and T loops). Further hydrogen bonds mediate the characteristic L-shaped molecular structure. tRNAs have two regions of fundamental functional importance: the anti-codon, which is responsible for specific mRNA codon recognition, and the 3' end, to which the tRNAs corresponding amino acid is attached (by aminoacyl-tRNA synthetases). tRNAs cope with the degeneracy of the genetic code in two manners: having more than one tRNA (with a specific anti-codon) for a particular amino acid; and 'wobble' base-pairing, i.e. permitting non-standard base-pairing at the 3rd anti-codon position.
Source: Rfam by way of RNAcentral
AGGGGUAUAGCUCAGUGGUGGAGCACAUGCUUAGCAUGCAUGAGGUCCUGGGUUCAAUCUCUAGUACCUCCA